AAAAAAAAAAAAAAUCUCUCUCCUCUUAAUUUCUUCCCGAUCUUUCAUUUUCUCUCUCCCCAUCUUUUCUUCUUCUUCGCGUUUGCAUCAAACCCUAGCCUCCUCCGCUCUUCAUCUUCUCGCCUCUUCAUCUUCUCAUUUAAUUUCUCUUCUGUCUCUUUUUCUUUUUCUCAUGCAAAGAAGCAAGGUAAAAGGAAAUUGGAUUCCGACAGAGAUUUAUUGGCGGAAAUGUCAUGUCAAGAACAAGGAUAUAUGGAAGUUUCUUAAUGGUAUCUAUAUCAAGAAGAGAAGUUGGAGCUUGGAGGUGAUAAAUACAAGCGAAUUUAUCGUUAAUUAAAGUACUAAAAUAGCAUGGACAUAGAACCAAAGGAGUUGAUUGCAAUACUUAUUGUCAUUUGCUCAACACAACAACAAUGGAUGCUAAUGUUCAAUAUGAUAAUGAGACUUGGAGACAGAAGAAUAGAAAACCAAUCACCACACCUAAGACACCAAAUUAGGCAACUUAACUUUUUUCGUCUAAUUCAUGAAAGUGAUAUAGCUUGUUGAGAGAGUAUACGGAUGGAUCGAAGAUGUUUUACUAUCUUGUGUACUAUGUUAAGAACAAGAGGGGGAUUGGAAGCCACUCAAUAUAUGGAUGUUGAAGAGAUGGUUACGAUUUUUUUGAAUAGGGUAGCUCGACGACAUUUUGUACGGUCUGGUGAAACAAUGUCAAGACACUUCAAUGCUGUUCUUAACACAAUUCUUAGACUCCAUGAAAUCCUUCUUAAGCAACCUGAUUCAGCGGCCCAUUCAUGUUCGCACGAGAAGUGGCGAUGGUUUCAAGUAUAUAAUCAUUCUGCCACUACAUUAUAGUGGAUAUGUGCUUCUAUGAAUUGACGAAUAAAAUGUCUUUUACCCAUUGACAGAAUUGUCUAGGUGCAUUAAAUGGUACACACAUCAAAGUGAAUGUAAGUAUGAGUGAUCGUCCUAGGUAUAGAUCUAGAAAUGGUGACAUUACCACAAAUGUACUUGGUGUGUGUUCGCAAAAUGGUGAGUUCAUAUUUGUCAUGCCUGGAUGGGAAGAGUCUACAUCCGAUUCGAGAGUACUUAGAGAUGCAGUGUCACAACCUAGUGGUCUAAAAGUCCCAAAGGGUAAGAUGAUACAUUCUCUUCUCCCCACACAGUGGUGUUAGCUAGACCAUAUGCUCAUUUAAUAUGGUGUACCCUAAUAAUUCAUUAUGAGUGCAACAUGGGCAAGUUACUACUACUUGUAUGAUACUGGUUAUCCAAAUGCUGAAGGAUUCCUCGCUCCAUACCGAGGUCAACAUUACCAUCUAACUGAAUGGUGUGGAGGAAACCCACCAAAAUGGCCGAAAGAGCUAUUUAACAUGAGGCAUUCCUAUGCUAGAAACGUUAUUGAAAGAGCAUUUGGAUCAUUGAAGGAUCGGUGGGCCAUUCUACGAGGGAGAUCCUAUUACCCCGUUGACAUACAAUGUAAAAUAAUAACAGCAUGUUGCCUCUUACAUAACUUGAUACAUAGAGAAAUGAAUUCAGAGGCAACAUUUGAGGAGCCACAUCUUGGUGAAGGUGAUUCAAGCGAGAUGAACAUUGAGAAUGUGAACUCUGUGGAACGACUAAUGUCUGGACUGAAUGGAGGGAUAAUCUUGCAAACAAAAUGUUUGAGGAUUGGAAUAAUGUAUGACUAAUAUAUGUAGUUUAGUUUCCUAUAUAAUUUUCUUGUUUUAUCACAUGAUCUGUACUUGAACUAUUUUUUGUGUGUAAUUGGAGUAAAAAAUACAUAGGGUUUCCUCUAAAUUAUGAGAACUAAAUUGUCUAUAUGUCAAUCUAUAGAUUUUGUAUC
This is a long non-coding RNA of Cucumis melo (muskmelon), 1840 nucleotides long. RefSeq lists it as uncharacterized. The record is from RefSeq and is a predicted model, not a curated record. The transcript is spliced from 3 exons. Lineage: Eukaryota; Viridiplantae; Streptophyta; Magnoliopsida; Cucurbitales; Cucurbitaceae.